This 253-nucleotide ribosomal RNA is filed under the name uncultured bacterium. RNAcentral's name for it is "partial 16S ribosomal RNA". It matches the Rfam family "Bacterial small subunit ribosomal RNA", at positions 524 to 776 of the family's 1533-position model. The record is from RNAcentral.
UACGUAGGGUGCAAGCGUUACUCGGAAUUACUGGGCGUAAAGCGUGCGCAGGCGGUUCUAUAAGACAGAUGUGAAAUCCCCGGGCUCAACCUGGGAACUGCAUUUGUGACUGUAGAGCUGGAGUGCGGCAGAGGGGGAUGGAAUUCCGCGUGUAGCAGUGAAAUGCGUAGAUAUGCGGAGGAACACCGAUGGCGAAGGCAAUCCCCUGGGCCUGCACUGACGCUCAUGCACGAAAGCGUGGGGAGCAAACAGG